UCUCUCUACCAUGCUCCUUUGCGGUUCCCAUAAUUCCCAGUUUAGUUAAAUUCCCCACUGGGAAUUGUGGGAACCGCUAGGGAGCAUGGUAGAGAG
Pelobates cultripes (western spadefoot toad) is the source of this 96-nucleotide non-coding RNA. Lineage: Eukaryota; Metazoa; Chordata; Amphibia; Anura; Pelobatidae. The record is from the annotation of a GenBank genome assembly.